AUGGCAUCUUGUACCCCGGGCGUCCCCUUCCUUAGCCCACUAAGUCGUAGGAUUUGCCCCGCCGUCCACUGCCAUGGAUCCGUCGCCCAGUCCGCUUCGGAGGAGCUGCCAUCCAAUCCUGGUGUUUCCCGCCGCCGAGGAGCCGUCGUACCGUCCGCUUCCAAGGAGCCGUCAUCCAUCCGCUUCCAUGGAGCCAUCAGAAGAUAUGCCAUUGGUGGUCUUGAGGGUGGCGAAGAUAAAGACUUGUUUUGGCAUGUUGUUUCCCAGUGCACCGCUGGAUUGCCCGAAGAUAAACCACAAUAUGUAAUGGAGAACCUAGAAGGCUUAUACGCGACCAAUACAGAGCGACCUCUCCAGUAG
This 360-nucleotide ribosomal RNA is filed under the name Triticum aestivum (bread wheat). RNAcentral's name for it is "partial small subunit ribosomal RNA". Lineage: Eukaryota; Viridiplantae; Streptophyta; Magnoliopsida; Poales; Poaceae. The record is from RNAcentral.